RNAcentral lists this unclassified non-coding RNA (494 nucleotides) under Hevea brasiliensis (rubber tree). The record is from RNAcentral. Lineage: Eukaryota; Viridiplantae; Streptophyta; Magnoliopsida; Malpighiales; Euphorbiaceae.
GGCUUUUUUCCCCCGUAAACUGAGUUGAGAAUGGACCUAGUUAACUUAAGGGGCCUAUGUGUUGCACAUACAUUCUUUACACCGUGGAUAUCUGUAUACGCUCCUCCCAACAGGUCGAGAAAAUACCCGUUUGGUUUGUCUAACUGCUUUCCUCACUCUUUGCUCAAAUGUCCUCCAGUCUAUUGUAUUGUUCUUGACAAAGAUAUCAGCCAGUCUACGUUUGUUUGGCCGUAUAGUAGCCAUUUUGCCUCCACCAAAGUAUACUCGGAAGCCAGAGACUAACGAUGAAAAUUGGCUGCCCGAGUCUGUCAUGGCAAACACAUCUGCAGCAGUGCAAACUAUGAAGUCCAGUGCUGCUAGCUGAGAAGAGAAAUUCAUGAAUGGUUCAAUCUCAGAAGAGGAAAGUAAGCUUUCCUUUGUGACCAGAUUAGGAUACAAGGUGGUCAAGGAGGCCAAUCUUGAUUUGCCUCCAUAGAUAUGUGCACCUGCCAAGU